UGGGGGUAUAGUUCAGCUGGGAGAGCGCUUGAAUGGCAUUCAAGAGGUCGCAAGUUCAAAUCUUGUCGCCUCGAU
This 75-nucleotide transfer RNA is filed under the name bioreactor metagenome. Its description in RNAcentral is "tRNA-Ala". It matches the Rfam family "tRNA". Rfam says of the family: Transfer RNA (tRNA) molecules are approximately 80 nucleotides in length. Their secondary structure includes four short double-helical elements and three loops (D, anti-codon, and T loops). The record is from RNAcentral.